Long non-coding RNA from Taeniopygia guttata (zebra finch), 895 nucleotides. RefSeq lists it as uncharacterized. Lineage: Eukaryota; Metazoa; Chordata; Aves; Passeriformes; Estrildidae. The record is from RefSeq and is a predicted model, not a curated record.
CCCCGCGCCAAAGUUUGGGGAAACUUUCCGCUGUUUUGGGGCCGGGGCCUGGCCUCAGCCCCGCGCUCCCGCUGCGGGCAGGGAGCGCCCUCAGAGCUGUGCCUGUGCCCCCCUUCCCUGUGUCAGCGCACCUGGGCUCUCCCUGCCCGCGGACCGCGCUCCCUGCGCCCCACAGAUAAGGCCGGGGCUCGCCCCACCCCGCGGCACCCCGGGCCCGCCGUGCUGGAUAAGCGGAGCCGCCACGUUGAGGGAAGUUUGCCCCGUGUUCCCCCCACCCCCCCACCCCACAGCCCGCGGGUGCUGUGACUUCGCGCAGGACCCCACAAAUCCCAGCACACGCUGCCGGGAGCUGCGAUCCCCGCCGUGCCCCCCCGGCCCUGCCCUCAUCCCGGUGACACUCGUGUCCUCCUAUUAACCCUGCGGAGAGAGGACAAAAGCUAAACUAUGAUCCUGCGCUGCUUCCCCCCCCCGCCCCAUCCCGCUGCCGGCUCCAUGAGCUUCACAUCCUCCUGCUAAGGCUGAAAGGAACAAGAACAAGAGCUGCUGAUGGUUGCUCUCCCUCCCUCAUGGCCGGAGUGGAAAAGCACGUUUAAAUCCCGAACUCGGCUUUCCCACGUGGUGUCUCGCUGAGCUGCUGUCACAGCCACGCCGCGCUCUCACAGGGCACCGGACUUCUUCCCUGCCCUGCCGGCAAGGCACAAGGAGGCAGCCUUCAUCGAGCGAGGAGAGCGAAUCUUGGCAAAAAGAGCACCGAAGGAUGUGAACCCCUUGGAAAAUUCCACUUCCUGCCCAGCACUGCGUGUCCUUGGGUCUCUCACUCAUUCCCAUGCACUUAACGAGGGAUUUCUGCCUCAGGCUACCACACCAACUUUCUAAAUAAAUGCCUCGCACACCC